UUUGUAUAAUGGGUCAGCGACUUAUAUUCAGUGGCAAGGUUAACCAUCUAGGGGAGCCGUAGGGAAACCGAGUCUUAACUGGGCGUUCAGUCUCUGGAUAUAGACCCGAAACCAGGUGAUCUAGCCAUGGGCAGGUUGAAGGUUGAGUAACAUCAACUGGAGGACCGAACCGACUAAUGUUGAAAAAUUAGCGGAUGACUUGUGGCUAGGGGUGAAAGGCCAAUCAAACCUGGAGAUAGCUGGUUCUCCCCGAAAGCUAUUUAGGUAGCGCCUCGGACGAAUACUACUGGGGGUAGAGCACUGUUAAGGCUAGGGGGUCAUCCCGACUUACCAACCCUUUGCAAACUCCGAAUACCAGUAAGUACUAUCCGGGAGACACACGGCGGGUGCUAACGUCCGUCGUGGAGAGGGAAACAACCCAGACCGCCAGCUAAGGUCCCAAAUUACUACUAAGUGGGAAACGAUGUGGGAAGGCUCAGACAGCCAGGAUGUUGGCUUAGAAGCAGCCAUCAUUUAAAGAAAGCGUAAUAGCUCACUGGUCGAGUCGGCCUGCGCGGAAGAUGUAACGGGGCUAAGUAGUAAACCGAAGCUGCGGCAAUGUGCUUUUGCACAUUGGGUAGGGGAGCGUUCUGUAAGCGGUUGAAGGUGUGUGGUAACGCAUGCUGGACGUAUCAGAAGUGCGAAUGCUGACAUGAGUAACGAUAAAGGGGGUGAAAAACCUCCUCGCCGGAAGACCAAGGGUUCCUGUCCAACGUUAAUCGGGGCAGGGUAAGUCGACCCCUAAGGCGAGGCCGAAAGGCGUAGUCGAUGGGAAACGGGUUAAUAUUCCCGUACUUCUUACAAUUGCGAUGGGGGGACGGAGAAGGCUAGGUGGGCCUGGCGACGGUUGUCCAGGUUCAAGUGCGUAGGCUUAAGAGUUAGGUAAAUCCGGCUCUUUCUAAGGCUGAGACACGACGUCGAGCACCUACGGGUGUGAAGUCAUUGAUGCCAUGCUUCCAGGAAAAGCCUCUAAGCUUCAGAUUGUAAGGAAUCGUACCCCAAACCGACACAGGUGGUCGGGUAGAGAAUACCAAGGCGCUUGAGAGAACUCGGGUGAAGGAACUAGGCAAAAUGGUACCGUAA
This 1122-nucleotide ribosomal RNA is filed under the name Vibrio parahaemolyticus. RNAcentral describes it as "partial 23S ribosomal RNA". It matches the Rfam family "Bacterial large subunit ribosomal RNA", at positions 607 to 1733 of the family's 2925-position model. The record is from RNAcentral. Lineage: Bacteria; Pseudomonadati; Pseudomonadota; Gammaproteobacteria; Vibrionales; Vibrionaceae.